Long non-coding RNA from Nerophis ophidion (straightnose pipefish), 10976 nucleotides. RefSeq lists it as uncharacterized. The transcript has 3 exons. The record is from RefSeq and is a predicted model, not a curated record. Lineage: Eukaryota; Metazoa; Chordata; Actinopteri; Syngnathiformes; Syngnathidae.
AAGCCUUCAGAGCCGCGGUCACACAACGCGAGGGAACACCUUGACAGAGCCAAGCUGGCGAAUGCAUAGAAAUGCGCGCGCACUUUGACAAAACACACAUUUAUAUUCCUUUGUGUUGCAUUUGAUAAUUCCUAUUUCUUCCCUUCCCACCCCUGAUUUAUUGGGAAUACGGGACCACGCGUGCCGCAAAAGCCCGCCGCCGCCAGCCCCCCCACUCCUCAAGACGGAGACCUAUAAUUGGAGAGGAGCCAAUGACGCGCUGAAAAUAACCAGGUUACCACUUAUCCGCUUUGGGGAGGGCCCAGCAGCACCAUAUAUCAGCUCCUCCUGUUCCAGCUGUUUGGGAAUAUCCUGCUCACCAGAUCCUCACUGCAGCUUGCAGCACCACCACCGCGUCUAAGCGUCCUCCUGCCCGGGUUGGAUCAUGCUAACGGGGGCAUGGGCGAGGGUGUGUGCACCCGGGAUCCCUCACAGGUGCUGGGGGCUUUUUAUUUUUUUAUUUUUUUAAGGGAGGAUGGAGGACUUUGUUGCUUGGUGGUGAAUAAAAGAUGCACAAGAAGCUUUGUCUACCCCUUACCAAAAAAAAAAGGAUGUUGGUUAAUUUGGAAUGUGAUCAGAUGUGACUUUUGGGGCGGCGGCAGUGGAUGGACAUGGAAGUUGGAACUUGCAGAUGACAUCUUGUGCAGGGAGCCAGACCAGCAGACUAGACUGUAAGGCUCCUGUGGAUGCUGCUGUAUGCCACCUGCAUGCAUGCCUGGGAUGGCUGCGUUAUGCAAUGAUGUCAUACUUCAUGGUGCUCGUCAUCAGAUACCGGAGAACCUUCUAGAGCCUCCUAAGGUCCGACACUUCUCUCCAAAAUGAACCUCAACAUGUGUUUUCAAGAGAAGAAGUGCACAAGAAGAGAAGUCCAACAACAACACACGCGUUGUCUGUAGCUGUUUAAAUAACAGUGGCUAUCUUUUUUUUUUUGCUUCCGACAUUUAGAAGACUGACACGUUUUAUUAAUUUGAUGUUUUCUUUUCAGUGGUUAUGUUAUUUUUGUGACAAGUGAAAAUGUGAAAAUGGUGAGGUGCAUUCACGACGUGACCGACUUUUACGCCAAGCCUCGUCAUUACUGUUUUAUUUACCUUUCACUAAUAACACUGUUUAACUUUGUCUUACGCUUGUUUGACAAUAAGAAUGUUUUGUGUUAUUAUUACAAUGUUUAAAUUAUUUGUAAACUUGUUUGACAAUAUGGAUGUUUUGUGUAUUAUCAUUAACAAUGAUUAACUUCUUUUUACAAUAUGGAUGUUUUUAUGUUUUAUUAAUUACAAUUUAUGAAUGUUUUUGUGUUAUUGUUAACACUGUUUAACUUAUGUUUACACUUGUGUAACAAUAUGAAUGUAUUAUGCUUAAUUAAUGUUUACUUACUUUUUAUGUUUUAUUAUUAACAAUUUAUGAAUGUUGUACAGUUUUUUAAUAACAAUGUACGAAUGUUUUUGUGUUAUUAAUGUUUAACCUUUUUUACACUUGUGUAACAAUAUGAAUUUGUUAUGCUUAAUUAUUAACACUGUUAAAGUUAUGUUUACACUUGUGUAACAAUGAAUGCAUUAUGCUUGAUUAUUAACAAUGUUUAACUUAUUUUUAUGUUUUAUUAAUAACAAUGUAUGAAUGUUUUAUAGAUUAUUAAUAACAAUGUACGAAUGUUUUUUAGUUAUUAUGAAUUUUUUUUACACUUGUGUAACAAUGAAUGUAUUAUGCUUAAUUAUUAACAAUGUUUAACUUAUUUUUUACGUUUUAUUAAUACCAAUUUAUGAACCCUUUUAUAGUUUAUUAAUAACAAUGUAUGAAUGUUUUGUGUUAUUAAUGUUUAACCUUUUUUACAUUUGUGUAACAAUAUGAAUGUAUCAUGCUUAAUUAAUGUUAACUUAUUUUUAUGUUGUAUUAAUAACAAUGUAUGAAUGUUUUAUAGUUUAUUAAUAACAAUGUAUGAAUGUUUUUGUGUUAUUAUUAAUGUUUAGCCUUUUUUACACCUGUGUAACAAUAUGAAUGUGUUAUCUUAAUUAUUAACACUGUUUAACUUAUGUUUUUGCAUGUGUGUAACAAUGAAUGCAUUAUGCUUAAUUAUUCAGUGUUUAACUGAUUUUUAUGUUUUAUUAAUAACAAUUUAUGAAUGUUUUAUAGUUUAUUAAUAACAAUGUACAAAUGUUUUUGUGUUAUUAAUGUUUAACCUUUUUUACACUUGUGUAAAAAUAUGAAUGUGUUAUGCUUCAUUAUUAACACUGUUUAACUUAUGUUUACACUUGUGUAACAAUGAAUGUUAUGCUUAAUUAUUAACAAUGUUUAACUUAUUUUUGUUUUAUUAAUAACGAGGUAUGAAUGUUUUAUUGUGUAUUGAUAACAAUGUAUGAAUGUUUUUGAGUUAUUAUUAAUGUUUAACCUUGGUACACUUGUGUAACAAUAUGAAUGUGUUAUGCUUGAUUAUUAACAAUGUUUAACUUAUUUUUAUGUUUUAUUAACAACAAUGUAUGAAUGUUUUAUAGUUUAUUAAUAACAAUGUACAAAUGUUUUUGUGUUAUUAAUGUUUAACCUUUUUUACACUUGUGUAACAAUAUGAAUGUGUUAUGCUUAAUUAUUAACACUGUUUAACUUAUGUUUACACUCGUGUAACAAUGAAUGCAUUAUGCUUAAUUAUUAAUGUUUAACUUAGUUUUUAUGUUUUAUUAAUAACAAUUUGUGAACCUUUUUAUAGUUUAUUAAUAACAAUGUAUCAAUGUUUUGUGUUAUCAUUAAUACUUAACAUUUUUUACACUUGUGUAACAAUAUAAAUGUAUUGUGCUUAAUUAUUAACAAUGUUUAACUUAUUUUUAAAGUUGUGUGACAAUGUGAAUGUUUUUGUUUUUGGUUGACAAUGUAUGAAUGUUUAUAUGUUUUAUUAGUAAUGUAUGAAUGUUUUUGUGUUUAUUUAAUAACAAUGUAUACAGGUUUGUUUUAACAAUGUUUAACUUUUUUUUACACUUGUGUGUCAAUGUGAAUGUUUUUGUGCUUAAUUAUUAACAAUGUUUAACUUCUUUUGAGGCUUGUAUAACAAUAUGAAUGUUUUUAUAUUUUACUAUCGACAGUGUUUAAUUUCUUUUUACACUUACGCUGUCAACCAGGGCCGUAACUUGGAUUUGACAAAUACCGAGGUCAAAAAUUGGUGUAUCCCAGUAGCACAUAAAUGAUAUUACCUUGAGCAACACAAUUAUAUUAUCUAACAUAUUUCACAAUCAGCAUGAUUUCACAACAUUUUUUUUAGCAACAUUCUGAAGUUUAGUGUAUUAAACAAUUUUAACAUCAUUCAAAUUUAAUUUAAAAACCUCGCUACAAUUUCAACUCCGACAAAUUACCUUCUGCUUUGAAACAUAAGUACUGAUGACGCAGACCACGAAAGCCACUAUCUUUUCCCAUAUUCUUAUUGUGACAGAGCAUGACGUGAACGGAGCACCUUGUCAUUAAAUAAUUUACAUUUGACAUGUGCUUCUUCACACGAAACCGGGUACCUGUUCUGCGUUUAGGGCUUGACUGACAUGACAACAUAAUUAUACCGACAGCGUUUCACAUCAAUUUCAUUCAGGUGAAACCAACAUUAGUGACGUCAGUAUCAUUUAUUGUUUACGUUAAGUUGACAGCAAAUUUCGGAUUGGAGUAAAAGUGGACUUCAUUGCGCUUCGUAGUUGAAGCUGUAGCUGUGCAUGACCAAAGAUCGUAUAUUGAGAGAAGAUGAGCUACCGCAUGGUGAUGUACAGCAAACACAAUGUCCGACAUAAAGUAUGUUCUCCUUCAGUCAUAUUAUCUUCUUUUUGUCACUUAAAAAAAAAAUCUGAGGACCUCAUUGUCCUCAAUGGUAGUUACGGCAUUGCUAAUAAUUGUGUUUAGCUUCUUUUUACACUUGUGACAAUACAAAUGUUUUUACGUUUCAUUAUCAACAGUGUUCAACUUCUUUUUUUUUUUUUUUUUUUUUUCCACAUUUCAUUAUUAACAGUUUAUUUUUACACUUGUGUGACGAUAUUAAUUUUUUAAAAAUCUCAUCAAUAAUUGUAAUUGUAUCUACCUGCGUGACAAUAUGUACGUUUUUACGUUAGACUAUUAACAUUGUUUAACCUCUUAUUUUAAGGCAGGGGUGUCAAACGUACGGCCCGCGAACAGGUUUUAUCCGGGUAUACUAAGUACAAAAAUCAACUUGACAUUUUUGAAUGAAAAAAAACAGCUGUUCUAAAUGUGUCCACUGGAUGUCGCAUUAGAAAUUCUUUGUAUCUUUGUAGAUGAUGCUACAUAUGUACAAAAUAAACCACAUGAUGUUAGUGCAUCAGUCAAGGAAAAUGUUCAAACUACAUAAACAACAUACUGUAAUUUGAUUUUGAUAUAAUUUUUUAAAUCUUGAUAUAUUGAAAAUUACCACCAAUGAGUUAACUGAUGAACAUUAUCAUUUAUACAGAAAACAUAAAGAACGACAAAUAAAGAUUGCAUGCAACAUGUAAGUGUAAAAAACAACGACAGCAUAAUGAUUUGUACAUUUUCAGAAUGUGCUUGUGCUAUUUUUAAACAAAGAAAACAAUCUGAAGUUGUCUUUAUCUUUAAGUUAUCGUGCCGUGAUUUUACCAGUUCGGCCCACUUGGGAAAAUAUUUUUCUCCAUGUGGCCCCCCAUCUAAAAUGAGUUUGACACCCCUGCUUUAAGGGAUAUACUAAGUGAGGUGCAUUCAUGACUUUACUAACUUUUGCAACAUUUUACCUUUAGUGUUCGAAUUAAUUCAAAUUUUUUUUGUAUGUAUAAUUUUCAGGGAUUAAUUAAUUUUUACUCUUACGGGAGUCAGAAAUGUUGCAAUGUGACAUCGACUGCGCCAUUAAUGCCAGUGUAAGGACUAUGGGACGGAUGGGGAAACAUUUUUUUUCCCCCACAUCCGUCCCAUACUGUAUGGGCACAGAUGUGGAAAAUGUUAACAGUAGUUAAUGUUAACAUUUUAAAAUAAAAAAUGUUAACAUUUUUAAUGUUAACAUGAAAAAUUUUAACAUUUUCAACAUUUUAGUUAUCUAACAUUACAAUAGUUACAAAACUAACUACAUUAGUUAAUGUAGUUACAUUACAUUAACUAAUGUAAUGUAACUACAUUAGUUACAUGUAAUGUAGUUACAUUACAUUAACUAAUGUAACUACAUUAGUUACAUGUAAUGUAGUUACAUUACAUUAACUAAUGUAACUACAUUAGUUACAUGUAAUGUAGCUGUUAAUAUACAGUUAAGUGUACAGUUAACUACAUUAACUGUAGUUAACUAGUUAAUGAACUAGUUAAUGAAGUUAACUACAUUACUGUAGUAAUGUAUUUACAAAAUUACUACAGUAAUGUAGUAACUACAGUUAAUGUAGUUACUAUAGUUAACUACUGAUGUAGUUGAUGUAGUUACUGUAGUUAACUACAUUGCUGUAGUUAACUACAGUAAUGUAGUUAACUACAGUAACUACAUUACUAUAGUUAACUACAGUAAUGUAGUAAACUACAGUAACUACAUUACCAUAGUUAACUACAGUAAUGUAGUAAACUACAGUAACUACAUUACCAUAGUUAACUACAGUAACUACACUACAGUUGUUACCUACAGUGAUGUAGUUAACUACAUUACUGUAGUUAAUGUAGUUAACUACAGCACAUUACUGUAGUUAAUGUAGUUAACUACAGCAAUGUAAACUACAUCACUGUAGGUAACUACUGUAAUGUAGUUACUGUAGUUAACUAUAGUAAUGUAGUUACUGUAGUUAACUAUAGUUAUGUAGGUACUGUAGUUAACUACAUUACUAUAGUUAACUACAGUAAUGUAGUUAACUACAGUAACUAUGUCACUGUAGUUAUUGUUGUUAACUACAGUAACUACAUUACUGUAGUUAACUACAGUAAUGUAGGUAACUACAGUACCUACAUUACUAUAGUUAACUACAGUAAUGUAGUUAACUACAGUAAUGUAGUUAACUACAGUAACUACAUUACUAUAGUUAACUACAGUAAUGUAGUAAACUACAGUAACUACAUUACUAUAGUUAACUACAGUAACAACAUUACAGUUGUUACCUACAGUGAUGUAGUUAACUACAUUACUGUAGUUAAUGUAGUUAACUACAGCACAUUACUGUAGUUAAUGUAGUUAACUACAGUAAUGUAGUUAACUACAUCACUGCAGGUAUCUACUGUAAUGUAGUUACUGUAGUUAACUAUACUAAUGUAGUUACUGUAGUUAACUAUGGUUAUGUUGGUACUGUAGUUAACUACAUUACUGUAGUUAACUACAUUAAUGUAGUUAACUACAGUAACUAUGUCACUGUAGUUAUUGUUGCUAACUAAAGUACUGUAGUUAACUACAGUAAUGUAGGUAACUACAGUACCUACAUUACUAUAGUUAACUACAGUAAUGUAGUUAACUACAGUAACUACAUUACCAUAGUUAACUACAGUAACUACAUUACAGUAGUUAACUACAGUGAUGUAGUUAACUACAUUACUGUAGUUAACCACAUUAACUACAGUAAUAUAGUUUGUGGGUCCAAAAGUGUUGAAUUGUUGACUUUCAGUUGUAAUACAACACAGUCCUAUGAAUUAUUAUUACAGUUCUACAUAUUGUAGUUAUGAAUCAGUUCUGUGUGAGCUGCAUAGUGAAACAGCCUGUUGCCUUUCAUCAUUCCAAACGCAUGCAGAGCCUUGGCAAGGUGUGAGUUGAUUUCUAAUCAUAAAACAUAGAUAGAGCUCAGGCUGUGAUGAUGGAAAUAAAGUGUACUUAUCAGGUAAUUAGCGCCCUCCUCCAACAUCCAUAGCAACCAAACUCAUGAAUCACCUAAAGGCCUCUUUUGAAAAAUGAAAAGAGCAAUACAAAACAUUUCACAUGCUCCUAUUUUGCAAUACUCUGCCCUCACGACUGAAUGACAAUAAAAAUAAAAAGCUGUGUGCAUAAUCUGCGGCGUCUCCUUUCCAUCUGGCUUUUCAAGCCGCCUUGACACCCCGCCUGUGUAUCAAUGACACCCACCAUUUGCAACCUUACACCCAAACGUAACCAAGUGAGCACUUACAAUGCGAAAAUAACCGCUUGAUUUAUAGAGCCGCUUGAGACUCGCACUCAGCCGCUGGGAGCUCUGAUUGAAUUUUGGUCUCGAAUGAGACGCGGACAAUAAAAAUGACAAAUAGGUCUUCUUCGAGGGAGGGUGCGCUAAGGUGGGAGAUGUUACCUUUUGGCGGUCAGUGUCCCUGCCUUCAUGUUUCUCUUGCUGCAUCACAUUACUAUCCCGUCAUCCUGUGAUUCGGAUUUGAAGCAGCUGACCAAUUUGUAUUUGGUUAUACAUUUAGACAUUUUUUUUGAGAUAAAGCACGUGUUGAGAAAGAUAGGAAAUAUGAUUUGUCACGGAUCAUAUCUCAACAAAAUCAGCUUGUUACGUCUUGUUUUGCCAAACCGAGGCAUUUCCUGUCGUCUACUGCCAGCAUUUUGGGGGACUGAAGUCAUCUACUUUAGCACCACUCUUAGCUGCUUUAAAGUAAUGUACAGCAAUGUUUAUUUACUCAAUUGCAGAGAGUAUCAGGCAUCCGCCCCCCAAUAUAUUUUAUGAGAUUCCAUAGUUUCUGCAGGUAUCAGUAAGGUUGAUUCGAUGCUUUUUAAUUCCUUUUUUAAUGCAAUCUAAAACAAAUGUACAACACUUAAGACCUUCCGUUUAUCAGUAUGUGGAAAUAAACUAUAGAAUGGAUUAAGCAAAGAAAUCAAAUAAUGUACUGUACUAAUAUGAUCCACUUCAGGAAACUCUUCAAACUUAAAAGUGUUUACAAAGUUCAAAGAAGAAGAACCAUGAUAAAAAUUCUGAAUUUAUUUCAUACAUCCAUUCAUUUUCUAGAUAAUCUUACUCAUCUCACCAUAUGAAAUAUAACUAACUUCACCAAUUAUUAUUUAUUUAUUUUAUUGUUAUUACAUAUGGAAUAUAUUGUGAAUACAUUGAGAACAGGAAGUGAACAAAAGCUUUAGCAAUUGCUAUGUAGAGCAGGGGUGUCAAACUCAAAUACAGAGUGGGCCAAAAAUUAAAACUGAACAAAGCCGCGGGCCAAGGUUGAACAAAUUAACCUUUUAAUAGGGACCCAAACAAGUUUUGCAUUGAAUAUUGAACAAGCAAAGCUUAUAUAACUUUAUAGUGACAUGUAAAAUAAUAUUUCAAAUAAAAAUAAUUAAAAAAUAUCAAUGGCAUAUAAAAUAAAAUGUAAAUAAAAAAAUGAAUGCCUCUUUUCUAUUUGCAACCUUCUGAGGUGAAUAUCAAAACAAACUUUUUUACAAGCUAAAAAUACAUUUGAAAAUAAAAUAACUAAUGAAUGAAUCAAACAUUCAAGCCUUGAAGUAGCAAGAGAAACUGCAAACGUUAAUUAUUGCUCAGUUUGCUACACUGAUUUGCUUUAACACUGAAUAUGGAACAAGCAAGGCUUAUAUAACUUCCAUCCAUCCAUUUUCUACCGCUUAUUCCCUUUCGGGGUCGCGGGGGGCGCUGGCGCCUAUCUCAGCUACAAUCGGGCAGAAGGCAGGGUACACCCUGGACAAGUCGCCGCCUCAUCGCAGAGCCAACACAGAUAGACAGACAACAUUCACACUCACAUUCACACACUAGGGCCAAUUUAGUGUUGCCAAUUAACCUAUCCCCAGGUGCAUGUCUUUGGAAGUGGGAGGAAGCCGGAGUACCCGGAGGGAACCCACGCAUUCUCGGGGAGAACAUGCAAACUCCACACAGAAAGAUCCCGAGCCUGGAUUUGAACCCAGGACUGCAGGACCUUCGUAUUGUGAGGCAGACGCACUAACCCCUCUGCCACCGUGAAGCCCCCUUAUAUAACUUAAUAGUGCAAAAUCUUAAUAGUGGUGGUAGCGUAGGGUGUAUAUUGUAGCAUCCCGGAAGAGUUAGUGCUGCAAGGGCUUCUGGGUAUUUAUUUUGUUGUGUUUAUGUUGUCUUUCGGUGCGGAUGUUCUCCCGAAAUGUGUUUGUCAUUCUUGUUUGGUGUGGGUUGACAGUGUGGCGCAUAUUUUUAACAGUGUUAAAGUUGUUUAUACGGCCACCCUCAGUGUGACCUGUAUGGUUCUUGACCAAGUAUGCUUUGCAUUCACUCAUGUGUGUGUUUAAAAGCCGCAUAUAUUAUGUGACUAGGCCGGCACACUGAUUGAAUGGCGUAAAAGCGGACGUGACGACAGGUUGUAGAGAAUGCUUUAAGGCAGUGCCUUUAAGGAACGACCCCCGAUAUUGUUGUCCGGGUGGAAAUCAGUAGAAAUUCGGGAGUGUGGUUGCCCCGGGAGUCUACCGGGAAUAUUUGGAGGGUGGGCAAGUAUGAGUAUUAGCGGUGAAUGCGGUGUUACACCGGCACCGCCACUGUAUAAUACCGGCGGGCCAGCACUAAUAUUAAUUUGAUAUUGCCUCAAGGGCCAAAUUAAAUUACACGGCGGGCCAGGGUUUGACACCCAUGAUGUAGAGGAAAAGGGGUAUGAUUAAAUAAGCUCUGCUUCUUCCUACUCCUUUUCGAACAUGUUGAAUAGAGAAACUGGAAAUUGUGAUGUAUCAUGUUGUAUGCAUGCAUGUCCCAAAUAAACUCAAACUCAUGUCCGACUGUAGAUCGUUAUUAUAUCAAGUCAAAAGGAUUGAUUAUACAGACAAAAUUGUAAGCAUCAACUGCGGCCAAAUAAUUCAAUUAUAUAAGAUAUAAUUACAACAAUGCAAGUCCCCCUUACUAACGACAUUAAUAUAUUUUUCACCGGCACUAUUGUAAUUGUAAAAGUGCAGUUUUUGGAAAUUUACCGAAAGACAAUUUUAAAGAACUGGGUUGGGUGGUUUGUUUUGUUGUCUUUUUGUUGCCAAUUGCAAUCUAUGAAGUUUUUUAAUGCCUGUAGAAAUCAUAUGUAAAAUGCCGUUUAAGGCUUUCAUUUGGUGACUUUUUUUUAACUGUUAUUUUUUUCCUGAGGUGCUAGGUUUUUCAAGUGGAGGUGAUUGACUCAUAUUGAUUCCAGUGUUUUUAUUUAUUUAAUUUUUUUAUAGUUUUUGGAAUUUCCAAACAUUGAAGCUCAGUAGCCGUUUUAUAACAAUGUUAUGAAAUAAACAUUGUCUGUUCAUUUUAGUGCAUACACAGGCACUGCACACAAAAAUAAGCGGUGACAUUUGUAUCACAACAACAGCGGUGUCCUGGCUGGUUCACCAUAAUGAUUUAAGAGGUAAAGUGUUUAUGUUUAUUAUUUUUUGUUUGUGUUGUUUUUAUUACACUAUAUUUCUCGUUAGACUACCUGUUGAAGUGUAGUAAUGUUGUGUGACAGUUGUAUUAAAAAAAUAAUACUUUUGUAAUUUCGAAACAUUGUAAAAGUAAAACUCAGAAAAAGUUUUAUAACAUCAUGUUACAAAGUAAACAUUGUCUGGUCAUUUUAGUGCGUACGCAAGCACUGCGCACAAAUAUAAGCGGUGACAUUUGCAUCACAACAACAACAGCUGGACCACCAAUAUGAAAGGGAUUUACAGUUGCCGUGGCGAUGGCGUGUACAAGCCAAAUGAUUUGAAACCUCGUAUUGUAAGUUUUUAAUAUUACACAUUGUCCUUUUAUUAUAGUCACAUAAAAUUUGGCGGAAUUUUGUUUUUUAUGUAUUUAUGUUCUAUUCAUCUAUUUUUAUUGUUCAACAUAGUUUUCCCAGUGUGGAAAGUAGUCACAUCCAUAGGACUUCAUAACACAGUGUUGUAAAUUAUUUGUUGUUUUGGUGUGCAAAAUGUAUUAUUAUAGAGUUUUUAUUUUCCGACUUUCAUUGAAUCAGUUUCCUAUGUCCUUCAUUACAUUUUUUUUUGGUCUUGUUUGUUCUCUGUCCUGUUCAAUAUGACAUGUUACACCACAAAUAUGGAAUUGUAUCUUAUCAUUUCAUGCAUUGUUGUUUUCCUUGCUUAGUGAAAUAAAUGUAUGUAAGCUUGAAUUAUUAAAUCAAUGUCAAAGAUG